CUACGUGCCAGCAGCCGCGGUAAUACGUAUGUCGCAAGCGUUAUCCGGAAUUAUUGGGCAUAAAGGGCAUCUAGGCGGCCCUGUAAGUCUAGGGUGAAAACCUGCGGCUCAACCGCAGGCCUGCCCCGGAAACUACAGGGCUAGAGUAUCGGAGAGGUGGACGGAACUGCACGAGUAGAGGUGAAAUUCGUAGAUAUGUGCAGGAAUGCCGAUGAUGAAGAUAGUUCACUGGACGGUAACUGACGCUGAAGUGCGAAAGCUAGGGGAGCAAACAGGAUUAGAUACCCUGGUAGUCCUAGCUGUAAACGAUGAUUACUGGGUGUGGGCAUGAAGAGUGUCCGUGCCGAAGCAAAUGCGAUAAGUAAUCCGCCUGGGGAGUACGGCCGCAAGGCUGAAACUCAAAGGAAUUGACGGGGACCCGCACAAGCGGUGGAGCAUGUGGUUUAAUUCGACGCAACGCGAGGAACCUUACCAGAUCUUGACAUCCUG
RNAcentral lists this ribosomal RNA (489 nucleotides) under uncultured bacterium. Its description in RNAcentral is "bacterial SSU rRNA". It matches the Rfam family "Bacterial small subunit ribosomal RNA", at positions 501 to 991 of the family's 1533-position model. The record is from RNAcentral.